AUUGAGGGUGCCUCCUAGGCACGAUGCUGAGCUCUUUUAAAGGGUUCCUCGGGUGCAAUGCCGAGGUCUUUUAUUGAACGUGCCUCAGGCACGAUACCGAGGUCUUUUAGAGGGUGGCACAGACUUGCCCUUAUACGUUUCCUGGAAGUGAUACCCGACAGUGAAGUUUGUCUGCGUCGUGCCCCCUUGCCGUAAUGAAG
Molecule: long non-coding RNA, 200 nt
Filed under: Ricinus communis (castor bean)
Lineage: Eukaryota; Viridiplantae; Streptophyta; Magnoliopsida; Malpighiales; Euphorbiaceae
Description: long non-coding RNA (RCOM_LNC001031)
Source: RNAcentral